AAAAAAAAAAAACAGUGCUCUUCUUUCACGCAGCCAUGUGAACCCACCUUUUGCAGAGUCCCCACACCUCGACUCACCUGCCUGUAUAUAAACCCAACUCCUGUGAACAUUCAACUAGACUCAAAAUCCAAGAUGGGUCUUAGGUGCCAUUUCUUGGUUUCUUUUAUUUUUCGAGUUAUACUUGUGAUUCUCUUUCUCUUGGAGGAAGCAAAAGCACAGCAACACUUCUACAAUGUGAGCACAUUGAGAGGGAGAAAGCAAGUGAGUGGUUGCAAUUUGUUUCAAGGAAGAUGGGUCAUUGAUGCUUCUUAUCCUCUUUAUG
RNAcentral lists this unclassified non-coding RNA (322 nucleotides) under Hevea brasiliensis (rubber tree). Lineage: Eukaryota; Viridiplantae; Streptophyta; Magnoliopsida; Malpighiales; Euphorbiaceae. The record is from RNAcentral.